RNAcentral lists this ribosomal RNA (268 nucleotides) under uncultured prokaryote. RNAcentral describes it as "partial 16S ribosomal RNA". It matches the Rfam family "Bacterial small subunit ribosomal RNA", at positions 524 to 791 of the family's 1533-position model. The record is from RNAcentral.
UACGUAGGUGGCAAGCGUUAUCCGGAAUUAUUGGGCGUAAAGCGCGCGCAGGCGGUCCUUUAAGUCUGAUGUGGAAGCCCACGGCUUAACCGUGGAGGGUCAUUGGAAACUGAGGGACUUGAGUACAGAAGAGGAGAGUGGAAUUCCACGUGUAGCGGUGAAAUGCGUAGAGAUGUGGAGGAACACCAGUGGCGAAGGCGACUCUCUGGUCUGUAACUGACGCUGAGGUGCGAAAGCGUGGGUAGCAAACAGGAUUAGAUACCCCGUA